Gallus gallus (chicken) is the source of this 569-nucleotide long non-coding RNA. Lineage: Eukaryota; Metazoa; Chordata; Aves; Galliformes; Phasianidae. The record is from Ensembl.
CUUGCCUUUCAUUUUUCAGAUGUGUAAGCUAGAUAAUGAAAAGCCAUUCCAGACCAUUUUAGGUAUUGCUGGGAUGAAGGUAAUGCAGAAUUGAGCAAGAAGGACAGAAAGUUUUCAGCCUUCUCUCCUGAAUGGAACAUGUCAGAGAAAGUCUUAUGAUAGAGCCAUCUCACAGAACCUCUUCUCCCACGUUCAGGCAAACCACUUGAUGCAUUAUUCAGGAUACAGAUAUAUGACCAAAUCAGAAAGUUAAGCACAUCAUGGGGGAAGUCUGAAAAGAUGGGUUACAUUACCAGGCUGGCAAAUCCAAGAAUGUGCCCUUCAGGCCCCUCCUUAACCUAGAAUCAAGUGCCUACAGCACAGUAUUUCCCCACCUCUGUAGUUCCUGCUUUCCUUCUCUACUGGACUUGCCUCACUGCAUCAAUAUUGGCACUUGCCAGCCCAGCUGGGGAGCUCUGAUCCUCCGCUACACCCCUGGAAGCGAUCGCUUUCUCCAUGAAGAAGUUCAAGUCUUUCCUGCCUCCCUCUCCAAAGGAAAUGCAAAACAUUUUUCUUCCUGAAGAAUUCAG